UACAGAGGGGGCAAGCGUUGUUCGGAAUUACUCGGCGUAAAGGGCGCGUAGGCGGCCUUCUAAGUCGAACGUGAAAUCCCCGGGCUCAACCCGGGAACUGCGUCCGAUACUGGAAGGCUUGAAUCCGGGAGAGGGAUGCGGAAUUCCAGGUGUAGCGGUGAAAUGCGUAGAUAUCUGGAGGAACACCGGUGGCGAAGGCGGCAUCCUGGACCGGCAUUGACGCUGAGGUGCGAAAGCGUGGGGAGCAAACAGG
RNAcentral lists this ribosomal RNA (253 nucleotides) under uncultured bacterium. Its description in RNAcentral is "partial 16S ribosomal RNA". It matches the Rfam family "Bacterial small subunit ribosomal RNA", at positions 524 to 776 of the family's 1533-position model. The record is from RNAcentral.